Elaeis guineensis (African oil palm) is the source of this 1248-nucleotide non-coding RNA. The record is from RefSeq and is a predicted model, not a curated record. NCBI's taxonomy places the organism in Eukaryota, Viridiplantae, Streptophyta, Magnoliopsida, Arecales, Arecaceae.
UAACUUCAGAGCCUUUUUUCUUUAAUCUUCUUAUUUGAUUUCUCAUGGUAUAUGGUUACUUUUAUCCACUGUAACUGUUUGAUGUUCAGGAGGAGCUGAAAUAUUUAUGCUUUUGCAUGCGUUUAGGUAGAGAUGUCUGUCUAGUAAUGAGGCAUGGCAUGAGGAUAAAGGAAAUCUUCAUAGUUUAGUAUGGCUAUUAAAGUAUAUCAUUUUUUUUGGCCAUGUUUUUAUGUUGUUAUUGAUUUAAUGAUCAAAACUAUAUAUAUUUGUCAAAUUACCCUGUGAUGUAUUAUUUGUAAAUAUUAUUAAUCUAUAUAUCAAUAAAUUUAUAAUAUAUUAAUAUAAUAUUAUUAUCAUAUAUAUAAUAUUAGUUAUAUAAUAUAAUUAGUGUAAUGUUAAUAUAAUAUAAUUGAGGACAUUUUCGUUAAGAAAUGAUAUUUUCAGAUUACCUCCAUUUGGCAAUCCAGCAUGGGAAAAUAAAUACCACCCCCCGGUGGUAUUUGUUUUACCUUCUCUCUUAGAAAAAUAGACAUGAAACUCAUCAUUUAUUUUACCGUUUCUCUCAUCUAUUUUUUUAUGCCAAAUAUGGUAAUCUGACAUGUGAUUUAUUUUUCUAUGCUAGAUCACCCCCAACCAAAUGGGCCCUUAGUGUUUUCUAUCUUCCAAAUACUUCAGCAGUUUGCCAUCACCAUGAUAUAUCAAUCAAUUUUAAAUUAAUCAUCUCUUUAUCCUUUAAUUCUCCAGUGAGUCCAAAACACCAAAUAUUGCAUGCCAUUCUUUUGAUUCCUGUUGUUACUUUGAGGCAAUGCUGUAUUCAUCGUCAAGCUGGGAUAUUUAACAAAAAGAUGGCUUAUUGUCUCUAAGUAGUUGCUUUAAAGGCUGUGCUUUUGCGGUGAGGUCCAACUUUCUUCUUCCAAAAUCUCUUAUGUAAGAUGUGUGCUGUUUGCCAAAAACCCCAUAAAAAAGGCACCGACAUGGGGGAUGAGACAUUUCUGGAUGGCCUUAGAAAAGGGACAGGUGAAAGAUAAUGAUUACCUCAAGGCACCAUUAAAAGAGGUCAUCUAUUGCACCUCUUGAAGCAAGAAAGACUUCUGCAUCAUUGUCGCUGCAGAAUAAAAUUCAUGAAGCAUUCCUUGAGGGGAAGAUCUGAAAGAUAAGUAUCCAGCCAAAUGCCAUUUUCAAUAAGGAAAUUGAUACCAGAAGUAAAUGAAUUGCCAACUUUGCAAACCUUUUCCAUUUGUGGUAAGA